RNAcentral lists this ribosomal RNA (154 nucleotides) under Lodderomyces parapsilosis. Its description in RNAcentral is "Candida parapsilosis 5.8S ribosomal RNA". It matches the Rfam family "5.8S ribosomal RNA". From Rfam's summary of the family: 5.8S ribosomal RNA (5.8S rRNA) is a component of the large subunit of the eukaryotic ribosome. It is transcribed by RNA polymerase I as part of the 45S precursor that also contains 18S and 28S rRNA. The record is from RNAcentral. RNAcentral also lists the same sequence under 1 other name. Lineage: Eukaryota; Fungi; Ascomycota; Pichiomycetes; Serinales; Debaryomycetaceae.
AACUUUCAACAACGGAUCUCUUGGUUCUCGCAUCGAUGAAGAACGCAGCGAAAUGCGAUAAGUAAUAUGAAUUGCAGAUAUUCGUGAAUCAUCGAAUCUUUGAACGCACAUUGCGCCCUUUGGUAUUCCAAAGGGCAUGCCUGUUUGAGCGUCA